UAGGGAAUCUUCCACAAUGGGCGAAAGCCUGAUGGAGCAACGCCGCGUGUGUGAUGAAGGGUUUCGGCUUGUAAAACACUGUUGUAAGAGAAGAAUGACAUUGAGAGUAACUGUUCAAUGUGUGACGGUAUCUUACCAGAAAGGAACGGCUAAAUACGUGCCAC
Molecule: ribosomal RNA, 164 nt
Filed under: uncultured bacterium
Lineage: Bacteria
Description: partial 16S rRNA
Rfam family: Bacterial small subunit ribosomal RNA
Source: RNAcentral